Molecule: long non-coding RNA, 336 nt
Filed under: Rattus norvegicus (Norway rat)
Lineage: Eukaryota; Metazoa; Chordata; Mammalia; Rodentia; Muridae
Description: long non-coding RNA NONRATT001840
Source: RNAcentral
GUCUUCAAAUUUUAAGGACUUUCUAAAGAAAUGCUUGGAAAAGAAUGUGGAUGCGCGGUGGACCACAUCCCAGCUGUUACAGGUGAGACAGGACAGUGUGAUGCCGACAAGUCAGAGUGUCUUAGCAUUGUCUUUGAGAGGAUGCACUGUCAGAGCCCUUCAUUGUUCACCCUGUCCACUUGGGUGUCUCUGUGGAAAAGCAUUACGUAGCUGUUUACAUGACCUAGGAGCACAUGUGUUGUCAUUAUUCACAGGCAUUUAGUCUGUAAAUGGUCUCUCCUGUGUAAUUAUGUUCUGUUUGUUGUAAUAGCUAUUUGCAUGCUCUCUCUAAUGACU